AAACACUCACUUCCUGGGACUCAAAGAAAGUGCAGCUGAAUUCGAUGGCUUUUAGCUGGGGACUGGCUAGAUCAGUGGAAAUCACAACCAAGUUCUCCCACUGCCUUUCUAUCCAACAGCACUGUGGAUCACCCGCAGACAAGGAUGGAAUCACCAAAAAGUAUAAUCAUUAGGUCACUAGAUGUGCACGUUGGCAAUUUUCGAAAAUAUUGCCAGAGAGAUUGAAAUAAUUCACCACUGCCCCUCCUCCAGCUUCUCCUGGGCAUGCCACAUACACUGUGGGAAGGGGAAAGGCUGACCUAGAACACCUUCAAGUGGAUGCUACAACUCUGUCAUAAAGAGGAAGCCAUCAGGUUCUUGGAUAAUUGCUGAAUGGAACUAAGGGAAAUGAGAGGAGAGAAGCAUCUCAGAGCAUGUUUGGACUUGCUGCAUGCCUUGGACCCUGCUACACACUGAUAACUGAAUAUUGAGCCCUUGAGCUGAUAAACAAGGGUCUUUGACUCGAGAGUGUUUUGCCAUCCUGUUUGCAAGCUUUGUGUUUGUUUCCUUUCCUCCAAGAGUACAUUUUCUUACUCCUCAUAUGGCCCCAAACCACACAUUGAGAACUAUGGCCUAGAGUUUGUGAUUAAUGGAACCCUAUCUCCACUCCAACCUCCACUCAUUAACCAAUGAUCUCUACUGGUGCCUGUCACAUUUACAAAUAUGUGAGAGGCCUUAAUUUAAAUCUGGAACUAAGCUAGUGAUUUCAAUUACAAUAGUCUGACUCAUUCCGACAUUAUCAUUGGGUAAAAUAGCCUCAGUUUCCUUAUCUGUAAAAUGAAUUCAAUGUUGGCAACACUGGUCUUAAAGUAAAAUAACUUUAAGAAAAUUGCUGAAGGCUAUGGCGUAUGACUUAGUGUAUUAUUAUUUUAUAAUGGAGAGUUUUACCUACCAAAGAAAGGAGUUAUCAGCUGCCCGUUGCAUUGCUGGUAAUUUAUUAUUAAUGAUUUCUAAAAACUCUAACAUUGCAGGAAGCUUCAAGCAUCAUUACUGCAUUACAUUUUGCUUUUGUGUUAAUGGACAGCUAUUUUUCACUGUCAUUUUCAUGAGUAGAAAGAGAGCACAGAUGAACAAUUUUAACAAAUAUAGGACAAUAGAAGACAUAUUCCAGACUUCAGCAUUUAUUAAUAGAAUGAUCAAAUUCAGCCUUAUCAGAAUGGAGAACUUCCUGGUCACAGACAGUAAUCUAUAUACCUCCUUCUCACCAGUGCCCUCACCUCGUUAACCCACUCAGAGGCAAGGGUCAGGAAACACUGCACUUAGUACUUUUGUGCUUAAAAAAUUAAAGAAUCCAAAUUAUCACUUUUUGCUUUCUACAUAGUUGAGAAAAAAAAGUAAUGUUACAAUCUCAGACCAUGGAGGAACUUCUAUUCACUUCAACUGAACUUCUUUAUGGAUUAGAAUGAGGAAGCCCUUUGAUGUCACCAAAGAGGUCUUUUCCUUCUAGAAGGCUUUUAAAAAAUCAUGUUCCAGGGAGAGUUCUCUGUUUUUCAGACAAUUCUUGGAAGUAAAGACCUCCUUCUCCCCCACAAUCUGGAAUAAUCAACUGGGCUUGACAGCCCAGUUGCACAUACUACAGAAGCAAAACUAUCCUAACCCCCAAUGUUAAAAAAUGGAAGCAAUUCUUUUCUAUUGAAGUCACAAGUCCCCAUUCUACAUCUUCAGCUUGUAUUCUCUCCCGAUUCCUAAUAUACCAUUCAUAGUAAAAAUGCAUGUGCCUAAGGAUGGUUCUGUCUGAAGAUGCUAUCAGUCAGCAGAAACAAAGACAUUGGGGGUCUCGUUUUAUCUUCUUGUUGCAGGUAGUUAGACAUAGACAUGAGGGAGGCAAGACAGGGCUUUUCUCUGCCACCCACUAGGAAUGUCAGGUGAUGGUUCAACAAUUAUCAUACUGCCUCUCUAAAAAAUGUGGCCAGAGCCGGGGAGAGACAGUCUCCAGCUGAUCCACAGCUGUUAACAUUAAAGUGUUCAUUGAAUGCCGAUGUCAGGGAGAAGCAACUUCCUGGGCAUACGCAUUAAGAGACAAAAUGGUAGAAUAUGACCUUCUGGGGGCACUCCACUAGAAAAGGGAAGAAAGCCUCAGAUGGCCAUGCAUACAACUUCCUAAACACCCUGUGUGUGCUCACUUCCCAAGGGUAAGGAGGGUACUACACAUGUGGGCAGCUCACCUCAAGAGAAAAAUCACGGGAAAGGGAUGCAAGAUGGCAGCCUAUAAAGUCCUAGGAUCAUGGUUAAACACCACACUUGUUGUUCACCCACAAUCUGGAAUAAUCUAAGUCUUGUUCUUCACAUCACCCACUUCACGUUCUUCCAAGUGUUCUUUCCUUUUCUAAAGCCUUGUUUUUUGUUUGUUUGUUUGUUUGUUUGUUUGUUGCUUUUUUGUGGGUUUUUUUUUUUUUGACAAGAGUUUCACUCUUUUGCCCAGGCUGGAGUCCAGUGACUCAAUCUCAGCUCACUGCAACCUCCGCCUCCCAGGUUCAAGCAAUUCUCCUGCCUCAGCCUCCCGAGUAGCUGGGAUUACAGAGGCCUGCCACACUCCUGGC
Long non-coding RNA from Homo sapiens (human), 2579 nucleotides. Ensembl annotates it as long intergenic non-protein coding RNA 390. NCBI's taxonomy places the organism in Eukaryota, Metazoa, Chordata, Mammalia, Primates, Hominidae. The record is from Ensembl.